CCCUUAGAUGUUCUGGGCUGCACGCGCGCUACACUGACGUACGCAACGAGUGUCCUUUACCGAGAGGUAUGGGUAAUCAUUUGAGUGUACGUCGUGAUGGGGAUAGAAUAUUGUAAUUAUUACUCUUCAACGAGGAAUUCCUAGUAAGCGCAAGUCAGCAGCUUGCGCUGAUUACGUCCCUGCCCUUUGUACACACCGCCCGUCGCUCCUACCGAUGGGUGAUCCGGUGAAUGAUUCGGACUCGGUUGCCUCUAGCCACUAGCGGCGCUCGAGAAAGUUUUGUGAACCUUAUCACUUGGAGGAAGGAGAAGUCGUAACA
Molecule: ribosomal RNA, 319 nt
Filed under: uncultured eukaryote
Lineage: Eukaryota
Description: partial 18S ribosomal RNA
Rfam family: Eukaryotic small subunit ribosomal RNA
Source: RNAcentral